AGCGAACGUUAGCGGCGGGCCUAACACAUGCAAGUCGAGCGAGAAAGAGGGGCAACCCUCGAGUACAGCGGCGGACGGGUGAGGAACACGUAGGUAAUCUGCCCUUCGAUGGAGGACAACGGUCCGAAAGGACCGCUAAUACUGCAUACGUUCCCCCGGGUCCUCGGGCCUGGGGAGGAAAGCCUCGCAAGGGGCGUCGGAGGAGGAGCCUGCGUCGCAUCAGCUAGUUGGUGGGGUAAUGGCCUACCAAGGCGAAGACGCGUAGCUGGUCUGAGAGGAUGAUCAGCCACACUGGGACUGAGACACGGCCAGACUCCUACGGGAGGCAGCAGUGGGGAAUAUUGGACAAUGGGCGAAAGCCUGAUCCAGCCACGCCGCGUGAGU
Molecule: ribosomal RNA, 384 nt
Filed under: uncultured bacterium
Lineage: Bacteria
Description: bacterial SSU rRNA
Rfam family: Bacterial small subunit ribosomal RNA
Source: RNAcentral